Molecule: ribosomal RNA, 440 nt
Filed under: uncultured bacterium
Lineage: Bacteria
Description: partial 16S ribosomal RNA
Rfam family: Bacterial small subunit ribosomal RNA
Source: RNAcentral
CCUACGGGAGGCAGCAGUGGGGGAUAUUGCACAAUGGGGGGAACCCUGAUGCAGCGACGCCGCGUGGGUGAAGAAGCGCCUCGGCGCGUAAAGCCCUGUCAGCAGGGAAGAAAAUGACGGUACCUGAAGAAGAAGCCCCGGCUAACUACGUGCCAGCAGCCGCGGUAAUACGUAGGGGGCAAGCGUUAUCCUGAUUUACUGGGUGGAAAGGGGGCGCAGACGGCGAUGCAAGCCAGGAGUGAAAGCCCGGGGCCCAACCCCGGGACUGCUCUUGGAACUGCGUGGCUGGAGUGCAGGAGGGGCAGGCGGAAGUCCUGGUGUAGCGGUGAAAUGCGUAGAUAUCAGGAGGAACACCGGUGGAGAAGGCGGCCUGCUGGACUGCAACUGACGUGGAGGCCCGAAAGCGUGGGGAGCAAACAGGAUUAGAUACCCUAGUAGUC